RNAcentral lists this ribosomal RNA (460 nucleotides) under uncultured bacterium. RNAcentral's name for it is "partial 16S ribosomal RNA". It matches the Rfam family "Bacterial small subunit ribosomal RNA", at positions 338 to 795 of the family's 1533-position model. The record is from RNAcentral.
CCUACGGGAGGCAGCAGUGAGGAAUAUUGGUCAAUGGUCGGGAGACUGAACCAGCCAAGCCGCGUGAGGGAUGAAGGUACAGCGUAUCGUAAACCUCUUUUGUCAGGGAACAAAGGCGGGGACGUGUCCCCGGAUGAGUGUACCUGAAGAAAAAGCAUCGGCUAACUCCGUGCCAGCAGCCGCGGUAAUACGGAGGAUGCGAGCGUUAUCCGGGUUUAUUGGGUUUAAAGGGUGCGCAGGCGGUCUGUUAAGUCAGCGGUCAAAGCCCGGGGGUCAACCCCGGCCCGCCGUUGGAAACUGGCAGUCUCGAGUGGGAGAGAAGUAAGCGGAAUGCGCGGUGUAGCGGUGAAAUGCAUAGAUAUCGCGCAGAACUCCGAUUGCGAAGGCAGCGUACCGGAGCGAGACUGACGCUGAGGCACGAAAGCGUGGGGAUCGAACAGGAUUAGAUACCCCUGUAGUC